UACGUAGGCAGCGAGCGUUGUUCGGAGUUACUGGGCGUAAAGCGUGCGUAGGCGGUGUCUUAAGUUUGUUGUGAAAUCUCCCGGCUUAACCGGGAGGGUGCGGCGAAUACUGAGAUGCUGGAGUGCCGGAGAGGUAAGCGGAAUUCCUGGUGUAGUGGUGAAAUACGUAGAUAUCAGGAGGAAUACCGGAGGCGAAGGCGGCUUACUAGCCAGACACUGACACUCAGACCCGAAAGUGUGGGGAUCAAACAGG
This 253-nucleotide ribosomal RNA is filed under the name uncultured bacterium. Its description in RNAcentral is "partial 16S ribosomal RNA". It matches the Rfam family "Bacterial small subunit ribosomal RNA", at positions 524 to 776 of the family's 1533-position model. The record is from RNAcentral.